RNAcentral lists this long non-coding RNA (208 nucleotides) under Mytilus galloprovincialis (Mediterranean mussel). The record is from RNAcentral. Lineage: Eukaryota; Metazoa; Mollusca; Bivalvia; Mytilida; Mytilidae.
CGAUUUAUUUCACUUGACUGGGCGGAGUUUAACCGAUUCGCUCACAAUAAACCAGUCCAUCUAUAGAUAGGUGUUUUAGGAUAAACUCAUUAAUAAAGUCCAGUCAUUGUUUUGUAAAUUUCUUUGAUGACAGUGAAAGGUGAUUAGAAAUCACUAAUAAUUAUAACGGCAAUCAUUCUUAUCACACACAUCUUCAAAUAGACUGUCC